Vicia villosa (hairy vetch) is the source of this 2247-nucleotide long non-coding RNA. RefSeq lists it as uncharacterized. The record is from RefSeq and is a predicted model, not a curated record. Lineage: Eukaryota; Viridiplantae; Streptophyta; Magnoliopsida; Fabales; Fabaceae. The transcript has 3 exons.
AAAAUAUAUACUUCAAAAUGUAAAUUAGAAAACAUAUGACGCAGAUUCUUAAGUUUGUUAGUGUCAUAAUUAUUUCUCUUUUCAUAUUCGUCAUUGUAACAAAUGGAAUUGUCGUAGGAGUUAUCAUAUGUCAAUCUAAUCGACAAUGUACUAAAGAAAUGACUAAAUGCUAUCGUCCUAAACAUCCAAAGUGUGUAUCAGGGAUAUGUAAAUGUUGGUAAUUGUAGGAAUAAAGUUAAAAAAUAAUUUCAAGUAUUUACAUGUAUAACGUUUGUAAUUUUAUAAUUUUCACAAACUUCAACCUAUUUUCUUAAACUUUCAAAUUACUUUGAUCCACUCAACUACUUAUUAUUUUAUUAUGCUAGUGUUGCUGCAUUCGUUCACUCUUAGAAUUAAGAUAUCCACUUUAAUAAUAAACUAGAUAAAUAUCCGUACUUCUGUAUGGGUUUGUUUUAGGUAAUAAUAUUUAAUCAAAUAGCUAGGGAAUAUAUAGGAUUUUUGAUAAGUAACAAAAAUUUUAAUUAAUACAAAUCAAAUUAAAUAAUAUAACUAUCGAAAUAUCUUAUUUUUAUUGAAUCAUUAAAAAUUUUCAACUUGAAUAAAAUGGAAAUAAUCAUAAUAAUUUAGUUUUUAAUACAUGCGCGGAUUUGCUAUGAUUAAUUUUUGCAAAUUAGUAGGAGAUUUAAUUUUUAAUUAUUUUUUAUUUAUUAAUAUUUAUCAACGAAAUACAAUUUUCAGUAUUUAAUAUAUAUUUAUCAAAUACAAUUUCUUUUACAAUAAUCAAUGACAUAUAUUUUACUCAAGCUUUUUUAUCUGUAUCCACACAAUAAACAUUUGUCUUGUUUUUUUUUUUACGUAUAUGUGAUAAAUAUGUGUACUGUAUUUUUGUAUAUUAUUUACAAAUAUGUGUCUCAUAUUUUUUAUUUAAAUACUGAUGAAAAAUAUUUUUCUUUGUAUUUUUUAGAUUAAUUGAUGACAACUAUUUAUUAUAUAUUUUAAAAUGAAUUAUAAAAAAAGAUUUUAGUGCAUACAACUCAUACAUGGGACAAAUGUUUGUUUGUGACUGAACAAUUAGUUAAAUUGAAUACAUUUUAUAUUUUUAAAAUAAUAAAAAUGAACAUAGUUAUAACAUACUAAAUUGAGUUUAUUAUAACAUUGCAGACUAACAAAUGACUUGUACAAAUAAAUCUGUUAAAACUAUUUUUUUUAAAAUAUUAAAAUAAAAAUAAGAAUAACUAUAAUUUACAAACUUUUUUUUUUAAUUUUGAACUUAAUUAAAGUCAUUAAGAAGUUGUUGAAGCCCAAAACUGAUACAUAACUAUUUCUGCCCAAAUUAUUUAUUAAUCAUUUAUUAAUUAUUCAAAUAUUAUAGUUGUGUAUUAUAAUAUAUCUUAUCUUUUGUCAAUAAAAUUAAGGCUUAAUAACACUUUUGGUACUUGUGUUUUCUGAUCCUUCAUUUUUAAAACAGAACAAAGCAGUUCUUGGACUUGACUAAAGGAUAUAAAACUGGUCCUAACCACAUUUACACUUCAAAAAAGCUUAUGUGUCCAGAUUUAGUGGUUGACUAGGCAUUUACACGUCAUUAAAAACUGCAUAUUGUAUUUACACGUCAUUAAGUUGUUUGCAGUAACCCUAAAUCCCAAUCUUCCAUAGUGAUACCAACAACGAUCUCCUUUUCACUUCUAUCAUACAUCAUUCGUUCUCUCGAUCUUCUUCGCUUCUCACUUCAUCCCUUCUCUCAAUCUUCUUCGCUUCCAUGUCAGAAUCAUAUGCCGUGUACAGUAACACUUGUGUGUCACGAAGAAGACAGGUUCGCUGCUUCUGUGACCUUGAUUCGCCGCUCACUAUCUCGUGAACGAAGGAGAAUCCUGGGCGGAGGUUUAAUGGAUGUGGGUUAUACAAGUUGUAUGGACGAAAGGGGUGUAGCUUCUUCAACUGGUACGAUGCAGAAAUAUUGGUUCGUGCAAAGGAGAUGAUUUUCUCACUAUUGAAGAGAAUUUGAUGAAGAUAAAAAGAAGGACAAUUUGAAGAUGAAACAAGAUGAGAAUUUGAAAAAGAAGCUUAAGUUCUGCCAAGGAGUAGUUCUUUUAGUUGUAGUGGUCAUUAUGGGAUUGAUAUGUACUGUUAUGUUGAAAAAGUGUUGAAUUAGUUGUUUAUAAGCUGAAUUAAGUUGUUUAAUAAGUUGUUAAUUGUUGUAGCAGCUGAAUUAUUUGUUUAGAAGCUGAAUUAAGUUGAUGAAUUAAGUUG